This 536-nucleotide ribosomal RNA is filed under the name uncultured Hypocreales. Its description in RNAcentral is "eukaryotic LSU rRNA". The stretch from base 170 to 323 matches the Rfam family "5.8S ribosomal RNA". The record is from RNAcentral. Lineage: Eukaryota; Fungi; Ascomycota; Sordariomycetes; Hypocreales.
GACCAGCGGAGGGAUCAUUACCGAGUUUACAAGUCCCAAACCCCUGUGAACAUACCUAUACGUUGCCUCGGCGGAUCAGCCCGCGCCCCGUAAAACGGGACGGCCCGCCCGAGGACCCCUAAACUCUGUUUUUAGUGGAACUUCUGAGUAAAACAAACAAAUAAAUCAAAACUUUCAACAACGGAUCUCUUGGUUCUGGCAUCGAUGAAGAACGCAGCAAAAUGCGAUAAGUAAUGUGAAUUGCAGAAUUCAGUGAAUCAUCGAAUCUUUGAACGCACAUUGCGCCCGCCAGUAUUCUGGCGGGCAUGCCUGUUCGAGCGUCAUUUCAACCCUCAAGCUCAGCUUGGUGUUGGGACUCGCGGUAACCCGCGUUCCCCAAAUCGAUUGGCGGUCACGUCGAGCUUCCAUAGCGUAGUAAUCAUACACCUCGUUACUGGUAAUCGUCGCGGCCACGCCGUUAAACCCCAACUUCUGAAUGUUGACCUCGGAUCAGGUAGGAAUACCCGCUGAACUUAAGCAUAUCAAUAAGCGGAGGA